ACGAAGGUGGCAAGCGUUGUUCGGAUUUACUGGGCGUACAGGGAGCGUAGGCGGUUCGGUAAGCCCUCUGUGAAAUCUCCAGGCUUAACCUGGAACAGUCGGAGGGGACUGCUGGGCUAGAGGACGGGAGAGGAGCGCGGAAUUCCCGGUGUAGCGGUGAAAUGCGUAGAUAUUGGGAGGAACACCAGUGGCGAAGGCGGCUCACUGGACUGGUACUGACGCUGAGGCGCGAAAGCUAGGGGAGCAAACAGGA
Molecule: ribosomal RNA, 253 nt
Filed under: uncultured prokaryote
Description: partial 16S ribosomal RNA
Rfam family: Bacterial small subunit ribosomal RNA
Source: RNAcentral